Molecule: long non-coding RNA, 754 nt
Organism: Anthonomus grandis grandis
Lineage: Eukaryota; Metazoa; Arthropoda; Insecta; Coleoptera; Curculionidae
Exons: 2
Source: RefSeq, a predicted model, not a curated record
CAUGGUGUGAGGUACUGUUUACUUUAGUUCCAAAAAGUUGUGAAAUAUCCGGAGGAAACGGCUUAGAAAAUUGUGUAACUUGUGUGUAUUGAUGAUUUAGUGUUUAUAGACAACGUGUGUAUAAAGACUCUAGUCAGCACACAGAAUAUAUCUGAGGAAGUCUCAAACUCUCAAAUUAAACAGCCUGAUGAUGAAGAACUCGAUACACCGCCCAAGGAACAAAAUGUAAAACUCUCACAGGCGAUGGGACCUCCUAAACCUAAAAAAAGGGUGAAAAAACAAGCAGAUCCAGAAAUUACUGAUGCAGUCGGUCAGUUAAAUAGAAUUGCUGAAAAUGUAUCACAGGUAAAACUGUACGACGAAUUUGGGAAGUAUGUAGCUGCAGAGCUACGUUAAUUGCCGCAACGUCAGGCUAUUUUAUUGCAGCAAGAAAUCCAGAAUUCUAUUACACGUGUAAAACUAAUCUGUUUAGAAAACAAUAACCAAAUAAAUACUUACUACGGAGAACCCCUUCAACUGCAAACUUCUCCAUCGUUAUCCUCCCCAAGUGAUCCCAGCCCUGCCUCAACCACAUAUGAAACACAUACCCAAAUCCAAAAUAACGAAGAUAACGGAUGGUCACGAAGUUCUUUAUCAAGCACUUAUAAAUACAUUGUCGGCACAAUUUUAAUUCUUAAUGAAUAAAUAAUAUUUUUUAUAAAUAAGUAACUUGUUUCAUAAACAGUGUGUGAAAAAUAAAUUGAUUAUUAAGUUA